UCCCACAUGGUCUAGCAGUCAGGACUCCUGGCUUUCACCCAGACGGCCCGGGUUCGACUCCCGGGAUGGGAA
RNAcentral lists this transfer RNA (72 nucleotides) under Ovis aries (sheep). It matches the Rfam family "tRNA". Rfam says of the family: Transfer RNA (tRNA) molecules are approximately 80 nucleotides in length. Their secondary structure includes four short double-helical elements and three loops (D, anti-codon, and T loops). The record is from Rfam by way of RNAcentral. Lineage: Eukaryota; Metazoa; Chordata; Mammalia; Artiodactyla; Bovidae.